Alligator mississippiensis (American alligator) is the source of this 889-nucleotide long non-coding RNA. RefSeq lists it as uncharacterized. The transcript is spliced from 3 exons. NCBI's taxonomy places the organism in Eukaryota, Metazoa, Chordata, Crocodylia, Alligatoridae. The record is from RefSeq and is a predicted model, not a curated record.
CAUCUUUAAGCUGCUAGGAAGCUCACAGAGCUCUCUGAGGGAAAUAAGUUACCAAGCUGGGAAAUAUCACUGACAAUACAUCAGCCUUUUUUCUUCUCUGGCUUCCCUCUUCCACUCCCCGCUUCCUAUGAUUUAAAAUGAGCAAUGAUUAGCCUGGCCAUCUUGAAGGGUGAUUUCCCUGUAGAGAAGUUCAAUCGUUCAAAAGUGGUCAGGAUUACUGUGAAGCUGAGAAAGAAGUACUGAUGAUUUGGACAUUCCAAGGAACUAAUGAAGAAGUGGGACAAUGCCAUUGGUUCAACCACCAGGGACUGUGAGCUUCAAACUACUCAACACCUACUGCAAUGCCCGCUGCUUGAAGGCACAUGUACAAUGAAAGAUCUUGCAAAGUACAGUAAACAAGCACAAACAUGUGUAACAAAAUAGUCAAAUGUAGUGUAGAGACAUGAGAAGAAGGACCUUCUUAACUGCUGAUUUCCCAGAAAAGAAAAAGAACAGAUACCAUUAUCUUUCUGCCCUAUAACUUAGCCUUUCCUCAGACAGAUAUCUAUUGCAACACUGUUAUUAAUCAUUUCCACAAUAUAUUACCAAGAUGGUCAGAGAAUACUAUAUACAAAUGCUAAGUCAGUGCCUCUCCAUAAAUGCAUGGGAGAACUUCUCCUUUGUUCAUACCUUUUACCCUACUAAUUGGCAGGGAUCCUGUUUUCUCUUAUAAAAAAAAUCAAAUUCUCUGAUAAAAAAACCAAAAUCCAUGAUUAAAAUGAAAUGCCACUAUGUAUAUAGAUAUCAAUGUAACAUAAAGUUUUAUUGAUAUAUUUACAAUUUUAAAGUAGUUUGGAAGCCUACCGGUGCCUCAAUAACUAUAAUAAAAUAAAUUAUAAAUACAUAUAAA